UCGAGAAUUUUUCACAAUGGGGGAAACCCUGAUGGAGCGACGCCGCGUGGGGGAUGAAUGGCUUCGGCCCGUAAACCCCUGUCAUUUGCGAACAAACCUCGCUAUUUAAAAGAUGGCGAGUUGAUUGUAGCGAAAGAGGAAGGGACGGCUAACUCUGUGCCAGCAGCCGCGGUAAUACAGAGGUCCCAAGCGUUGUUCGGAUUCACUGGGCGUAAAGGGUGCGUAGGUGGUCGGCUAAGUCCGGUGUGAAAUCUCGGAGCUCAACUCCGAAACUGCAUUGGAUACUAUUCGGCUAGAGGGUUGGAAGGGGGACUGGAAUUCUCGGUGUAGCAGUGAAAUGCGUAGAUAUCGAGAGGAACACCAGUGGCGAAGGCGAGUCCCUGGACAACUCCUGACACUGAAGCACGAAAGCUAGGGGAGCAAACAGG
This 428-nucleotide ribosomal RNA is filed under the name uncultured bacterium. Its description in RNAcentral is "bacterial SSU rRNA". It matches the Rfam family "Bacterial small subunit ribosomal RNA", at positions 355 to 776 of the family's 1533-position model. The record is from RNAcentral.